RNAcentral lists this ribosomal RNA (503 nucleotides) under uncultured bacterium. RNAcentral's name for it is "bacterial SSU rRNA". It matches the Rfam family "Bacterial small subunit ribosomal RNA", at positions 10 to 507 of the family's 1533-position model. The record is from RNAcentral.
AGUUUGAUCAUGGCUCAGGAUGAACGCUAGCGGCAGGCUUAAUACAUGCAAGUCGAGGGGCAGCAUGGUGUAGCAAUACACUGAUGGCGACCGGCAAACGGGUGCGGAACACGUACAGAACCUUCCUUCGAGCGGGGAAUAGCCCAGAGAAAUUUGGAUUAAUACCCCAUAGUAUUAUGGAGUGGCAUCACUUUGUAAUUAAAGAUUUAUCACUUGAAGAUGGCUGUGCGGCUGAUUAGGUAGUUGGCGGGGUAACGGCCCACCAAGCCUGCGAUCAGUAACUGGUGUGAGAGCACGACCAGUCACACGGGCACUGAGACACGGGCCCGACUCCUACGGGAGGCAGCAGUAAGGAAUAUUGGUCAAUGGACGAAAGUCUGAACUAGCCAUGCCGCGUGGAGGAUGAAGGUCCUCUGGAUUGUAAACUUCUUUUAUAUGGGACGAAAAAGGCCUUUCUAGGUCGUCUGACGGUACCAUAUGAAUAAGCACCGGCUAACUCCGUG